Triticum dicoccoides is the source of this 1463-nucleotide long non-coding RNA. RefSeq lists it as uncharacterized. NCBI's taxonomy places the organism in Eukaryota, Viridiplantae, Streptophyta, Magnoliopsida, Poales, Poaceae. The record is from RefSeq and is a predicted model, not a curated record. The transcript has 5 exons.
AGCACAAGAUCCUGAAGCUGAAUCUGCUCCCAGUCAUCCUGGAGUCAUCACCAAGGCCGAGAAGGCAGCAGCGCACGGCGAAGGGGUCAAGGCCUAGCUCAAGGAGAAUGAAGUCAGUCUUGGACGAGUUUAAGUACGAGGGGUUCGUGACGAAGCCAAGAAUGAAGUCAGUCUUUGAGGACGUGAAGCAGGUCACAGUCAACGAAAUUGGGCACAUCGAGGGGUGUUAUUCCAGAUAAACAUGUAAAAUCCAAGAUGUGAUAUAUGCCGUUGCACUUUCUCCAUGGAAAAAAAACCCUUUGCUCUAUGAACUAUUUGAACCGCCAUCCACUUAUUCAUCAAGGAAAACUAUUUAUAUAUGUCCUAUGGAAGGAUGGCCCUCAGGUUACCGUGGGAAGGGUUUUAAACAUGCUUCCAAGUUACAGAAACACGAGGAAUCAUAUGUCAAGUUGGAUUAGACUGAAAUUAUCUGCUGCGAACCCGGCUACAUAAAGACUUCUACUAAUGUGGGAUGCAUUGAUGCCCAUAACCAAUCGUGUCAUUGAUAUGUUCAGUGUGAUUUAUGUGGUCAUCAGUGAAUGUAUGAAGAUUCCUUUGGUAUUGAGAGGAUUAAAUGCCACUUUGAGGACAGCUAGUGCUCAUUUUGAAAGGAAUCCAAUUUCGACAAGCAAAUUAAGGCAGUUCAUGAGCAGAGUAGGCCCUUCACAUGCGGAUUCUCUGUUUCAUGUAAGGGACAAUCAUUAGAAAUGAACCUAGUGCUCACGUGCAUGUUGAGGUCGAUUUCACGGAUGCUGAUGAGCAACCACGACCUCGUCCAGUCCAGGCAAGCACAAGAGGAAACCCAUUUCCGUUGAGACUUUGACGAAAGAGGAUAGCUGCUUAUGUGUACGAUGAUGGAACUAAGUAUCUGUCAGGUUAUUUGUCUACUGAACCCACUGGAAAAUACCAUGCCAAGUUCUGAAUGAAGCAUAGUACAGCUAGCUUAAACACUUUCAGGCACUCAUGCUCUAGUUGAGAUCUUUAUGUUCUUUGUCAAGAACAGACAUACUUGCCUACAAACUAAACAGUGCCCUGGCAUAUGUAGAACAGUAAAUCAUUCUCUGCAAAAGAAAAAAAGAAAAAAAAAAUCUUUGGAUCAUGCAAACGUAUAGCCAGCCUCAGUUUAUUAGUGAAAAGGGUCAUCGACAGUAAGAUCAGCUGCUUUCUGGAUGCUCCAAUCAUUCUGAAAUUCAGGGCCUAGCACCAUUAUCUUGCAAUUACAGCUCCACGCUACCUCCGAGAGACACUAAUUAUGCAUUUAUGCUUCGUCUCCUUGGCCACCGAAGUAAGACUCUGUCUGUUUAGCAGAACAUACAAUGUCUGUAGCUCUUGCGCUGUCCUGGAAAUGAACUUAAGGAAUUCAAGUUGAAUUCAAGUGCACUUUGUUUCCCUCUAUAUUCAUGGAUAGCCAUCUUCUUGACGUG